RNAcentral lists this ribosomal RNA (481 nucleotides) under uncultured bacterium. Its description in RNAcentral is "bacterial SSU rRNA". It matches the Rfam family "Bacterial small subunit ribosomal RNA", at positions 19 to 518 of the family's 1533-position model. The record is from RNAcentral.
CUGGCUCAGGACGAACGCUGGCGGCGUGCCUAACACAUGCAAGUCGAGCGAGGAGAUCCUCGGGAUGAUCCUAGCGGCGGACGGGUGAGUAACACGUGGGCAACCUGCCUCAUAGAGAGGAAUAGCCUUCCGAAAGGGAGAUUAAUACCUCAUAACAUUGCAGUUUCGCAUGGAACAGCAAUUAAAGGAGCAAUCCGCUAUGAGAUGGGCCCGCGGCGCAUUAGCUAGUUGGUGAGGUAACGGCUCACCAAGGCGACGAUGCGUAGCCGACCUGAGAGGGUGAUCGGCCACAUUGGGACUGAGACACGGCCCAGACUCCUACGGGAGGCAGCAGUGGGGAAUAUUGCACAAUGGGGGAAACCCUGAUGCCAGCAACGCCGCGUGAGUGAUGACGGCCUUCGGGUUGUAAAGCUCUGUCUUCAGGGACGAUAAUGACGGUACCUGAGGAGGAAGCCACGGCUAACUACGUGCCAGCCGCCGC